UACGUAGGGAGCGAGCGUUGUCCGGAAUUACUGGGUGUAAAGGGAGCGUAGGCGGGAAGACAAGUUGAAUGUAAAAUCUACCGGCUCAACCGGUAGCCGCGUUCAAAACUGUUUUUCUUGAGUGAAGUAGAGGUUGGCGGAAUUCCUAGUGUAGCGGUGAAAUGCGUAGAUAUUAGGAGGAACACCAGUGGCGAAGGCGGCCAACUGGGCUUUUACUGACGCUGAGGCUCGAAAGCGUGGGGAGCAAACAGGAUUAGAUACCC
RNAcentral lists this ribosomal RNA (263 nucleotides) under uncultured bacterium. RNAcentral's name for it is "partial 16S ribosomal RNA". It matches the Rfam family "Bacterial small subunit ribosomal RNA", at positions 524 to 787 of the family's 1533-position model. The record is from RNAcentral.